AGGGUUACUCAUCCCUUUUGAAGAAAAACCAUCCGGUCUUAUUGGAGUUCUUCCUGCUUGCCUCCUUCCAGGUUCAAGCUCUUGUCGGUUUUGAGAGACCCUUAAGCACCUUGAUGAACAUUUGGUUGACAUUAGCUCAGAGGGAAUCACUAAGCCCAAGGAAGUGAUAAAGUUCAAAGGCGAAGGAAUGCCAUUGCAUUUUAGCAACAAGAAAGGAGACCUUUUUGUCACAUUUGAGGUUCUGUUUCCCACAUCUCUUACAGAAGAUCAGAAGAAGAAAAUCAAGGGAGUUCGAGGAAAAUCAGGAGCAAAGGCUUUACUUUCUUCUCCGUACCUUUUCCACCGUUGAUUAACAAGUAGUGCAGAGCCCAAAGAUGUUUCUUGCUGUAGUUCAUUCCGUUGUCCAUCAUACUGUUGGCUUCCUCGGACGAUUUUUUUUUGCCCCUAUGUGUUACAGUGCAAAUUGCGACACUAAAAAUUUCAUUAUAAAUUAAACCAUGUUAAAAAUGUAGUUAUAUCUUAUUCA
Molecule: long non-coding RNA, 526 nt
Organism: Mangifera indica (mango)
Lineage: Eukaryota; Viridiplantae; Streptophyta; Magnoliopsida; Sapindales; Anacardiaceae
Exons: 3
Source: RefSeq, a predicted model, not a curated record